Molecule: ribosomal RNA, 253 nt
Filed under: uncultured bacterium
Lineage: Bacteria
Description: partial 16S ribosomal RNA
Rfam family: Bacterial small subunit ribosomal RNA
Source: RNAcentral
GACGAACCGUGCGCACGGUGUUCGGAAUCACUGGGCUUAAAGGGCGCGUAGGCGGAUUGCCAAGUCAGGGGUGAAAUCUCUCAGCUCAACUGGGAAAUUGCUUUUGAUACUGGCAGUCUCGAGUGAGGUAGGGGCAUGUGGAACUCUCGGUGGAGCGGUGAAAUGUGUUGAGAUCGGGAGGAACUCCGGUGGCGAAAGCGACGUGCUGGACCUCAACUGACGCUGAGGCGCGAAAGCUAGGGGAGCAAACAGG